AAGCUCUGCGUGUAAACCCUCGAAGCCAUCCCGACACCCCAGAUUUCAUAUCCAAGUUAAGAAGGAAGUUUUACGCUCCCGAGAUCCCGAGAAGUGCGAUUCCCGAGCCGAAGCUCUGCCCGCGAGGAGUUCGAUUUUUGUGGAGAUCUUCCAGAUCUGCCGAAGAAUACUACUUCUACAAGCCGUAGUGUUGUCCGAUCAUCUUCUGAUCAAGUGAGUGUGUGGUUACUUUCUUCUAACGCAUAAUUAUGAAAUAUUUUAUAUAAAAUACGUGUUAUGUGUAUACUUUGUUGUUAUAUGUGUGAAUGUAUAUUCACUUUCUUCUAUCUCAUGGAUCUGAUUUAUUCUCUAUGAAAUACGUGUUAUGUGUAUGUGUCUCAUCUGUUGUUUGGAAUAUGUAUUGAAUGAGAAUGCUAUACAGGUUUUAAACUAUGUAUAAAAAUAUAUAUUUUUAUCUACUAAUAUGUUGGGUAGAACAUGGGUAGAUAGUUGUGUGAUAAACAGAUGAGAGGCCUCAAUGUUGUUUUGAUUUAGUCAUCUAGCGGAGUUUAGAUGACGACCACAGACUUUUCUAGACAGUCCUGUGGAACGCUAGCAGGUUUGCCACCUGUAGGUGUUAAUGAACUUGGGUGUUCAUUCGCUGUACUCCAUCCCCCUCAUGGUUGCCUUAUUUGACUUAUAUUGCUGAGGUACCCCCGAAGCAUGUGUUGUCGCCCCGAUGAAAUAUUCUUAGACUAGGUCCCUUAUGUUAGUUGUUUUAGGGACAUUAAAGUGAGAAUAACGGGAAUGGGUAAUUGGGUUAUUGUUGGUUGGUGAAAAUUAAAUAUGAUAUUUAUUGUGGGUUGAAAACCCUAUAUGCUCACCAGGCUCCCAAGCCUGACCCACUCAGUUUUAAAUUGUAUUACAGGUAGUGGCGGAAGGGCAUGAGAUGGAUGAACCAUCAAGUUGUUUUGUUUACAAGUCUGCAUAUGUUUAUAUUUGUUAUAUGACUUGUAAUGUAUUCGUUUAUGCUUAUUGGUCUGUAUCGGAACAUGACACCCCGAGUUUUGAUUAUAAUGAAAAUACAUUUCUUUUAUGAAAUGCUUCGGUAAACAAUGUUUUAUCAUGUUUUGUUUUUGGGAACAAAUUCCGCAACUCUUUCAAAUCAAAAGGAUUUACUCUGAAAAUAUUUAAAAGCAUAAAUGAAAAUCGGUCUUUUCUGGCCGAGAUUUUGGGGAUGUCACAGUUGGUAUCAGAGCAUUAGUUUAAGCGAACUAGGAAUUUGUAGGAUUUCUAGACUUAAACUUAGAAUGCUAAGUGAAGUUUUGAGAUGUGUGUCUGUUGUGUUUUAGACACGAGCACUAGUUUAUUUUAGGAAAGUUGCCUAAAAUGCUUUAUGUGCUAAAUGUUAUAUGUUGCCAUAUAUGAUAUUAUUUGUUCGGAUCUAUGGUCUGUUGCCGACCGGAUCUAGAAACCUUAUGUGUGUAGGAUUCUAAGCGUACGUCUACGAUAUUAGAACUAGCAUGUAAACGUUUCGGAGUGAUAAGGAUGAUUUGAAUAUCUAUCAUGAUUGAGGAUCUAAUUUCACCUUAUUCGGUGUAGAUCAAAAUGGUGAGAACAAGAAGUGGAGUUGGAAAUGCUGACGAAAACAGGAAUCAACCACCAGUGAUUGAGCCAAUACCUGUCGUAGCAGCAGCACCUGAGCCAAUAACCAUGGCUGGUGUGCAAUUGAUGAUUCAGACGAUGUUGGAUCGUCAGAUGGAUGAAACUAGACGGUUGCUUCAACAAAAUCGUGAAGAACUGUCGAUUCGUGUGGAAGAGCCUGAACUGAAUGAAGGGCACUCGGAAGGUGGAAACUUCAGUGGGUCUGUUGGUCCAGCCAACCCACCGAUAGUUAGGCAAGAUAACCAUGAUGGAAGGAAUGAUGGAAUGGGAUGCAAGUACAAGGACUUUUUGACUUGUAAACCAUCGACCUUCAAUGGAAAGGAGGAUCCGAUUGGGGUUAUGGAUUGGAUCUCCGAAAUGGAGUUAGCCUUUAUGACAUGUGGCUGUAGAGGCAAGUUGCAGACUAUCUAUGCCGUGCGACAAUUCCGAGGUGGAGCCGUUCGUUGGUGGAACACUCUAGGGAAGACCUUAAGCCCUAGCGAGCCACUGCAAUUGUCAUGGGCAGAGUUCUUGGUGCAGUUCAAGCGCAAGUUCUGCUCGGCUCAAAAUCUGUUGGAGUUGGAGAACAAGUUUUUGACAUUGACGAAGGGUAGCAUGUCAGUUGAUGAAUACACCAAUAACUUCACCGAUAAGAUGGAGUUUGCCUUGCGUAUCGUUCCAGACGAGCUGACAAAGGUGGAUCGGUAUGCGAAGGGACUUCCAUGGGAGUACGAGGUGCCGGUACGUCAGGCACUUACUCUAGAGGCAGCUAUCUGGGCUGCCAAGUCUGUGGAGAACAUGAUAAAGGGGAGAACCACCGACAAGGUUGAGGUUGGUGAGAAAAGGAAGUUUGAAGGAACAUCUGGUUCCAGUAAGAAGAGUAAAUUUUCGAAAUUUGAUUCGAAAAAGUUUGGAGGAAAAGGAGGCGAAGCGAAGUGGUGUGAUAAGUGUAGGAAAAAGCACUUUGGGAAAUGUAGCGAGGAUGUAACCUGCUACAAGUGUGGAAAGGUUGGACAUUUUGCCAAUGAAUGUCCGAACAACAAAAGGAUGUGUUUUGGGUGUAAUGAAGAGGGGCAUAUUUUGAAAGACUGUCCGAAGAAGAAGGAGGCAGCUAGGCCCAACAUUCCACCAAAGCCGAAGGCGAGAGCCUUCCAGAUGACACUUGAGGCUGCGAAAGAUGAAGCUGAUGUCGCUUCAGGUACCUUUCUCGUAAACGAAUUACCUGCUCAUAUAUUGUUUGAUUCUGGAGCCAACUACUCCUUUAUUUCGCAUGAGUUUGGUAGAAAGCUAGCUUUGCCUGUUGAUAGACUAAAUAAUGCUUUAUUAGUCGAAGUAGCUAGUGGCAAGUUUGUACCUGUUAGCCAUCGUAUGAAAAACGUCUUGAUCGACCUUAAUGGGAAUAAGUUUCUCGAGGAAUUAUUGCCUAUCGAACUAAAUGGUUUCGACAUCGUCUUGGGAAUGGAUUGGCUUAGCGCCAAUGAUGCCGAAAUUUUGUGCAAGAAGAAGAUAGUUAAAGUAAACCCGCCUGGGAAAGAUUCGUUUAUGGUGUAUGGGGACAAACGCAGAGUGAAUUCUGGAAUCAUUUCUCUAAUGAAAGCCAGAAAGUGUUUGACCAAGGGAUGUACAUCAUAUUUAGCAUUCGUGAUUGAUGCUAAGAAGGAAAAGAAGGUGAUGCAGAGUAUUCCAGUGGUGUGUGAUUAUCCGGAAGUAUUUCCCGAGGAUCUUCCUGGAUUACCACCUGAUAGACAAGUGGAGUUCAGAAUAGACUUGUUACCAGGAACCACGCCAAUUGCAAAAGCACCUUACCGAUUAGCACCGACGGAGAUGAAGGAGCUGAUGAUGCAACUUCAGGAGUUAUUGGACAAAGGUUUCAUUAGACCUAGUUCAUCACCCUGGGGAGCUCCGGUGUUAUUUGUAAAGAAGAAAGAUGGAAGUAUGAGAAUGUGCAUUGAUUACAGAGAGCUGAACAAGGCAACAAUAAAGAAUAGAUAUCCGUUGCCGAGGAUUGAUGACCUAUUUGAUCAAUUGCAAGGUUCGAGCUAUUUCUCGAAGAUCGAUCUAAGGUCAGGAUAUCAUCAGCUAAAAGUAAGAGAGCAAGAUAUCGAGAAGACUGCAUUCAGAACUAGAUAUGGACACUACGAGUUCUUGGUUAUGUCGUUUGGACUAACCAAUGCUCCAGCAGCAUUCAUGGAUUUAAUGAAUAGGGUUUGUAAUCCGUUCCUUGAUAAAUCCGUGAUAGUGUUCAUAGAUGACAUUCUGAUUUACUCGAAAAGCCAAGAGGAGCAUGGCAGACACUUGCGAGAAGUGUUAGAAGUUUUGAAGAAGGAGAAGCUGUAUGCAAAGUUCUCCAAAUGUGAUUUUUGGAUUCGAGAAGUCCAAUUCUUGGGUCACGUGGUCAACCAAGAAGGGAUAAUGGUUGAUCCAGCAAAGAUUGAGGCUGUAAUGAGGUGGCAAUAGCCGAAAAGUCCCAUGGAGAUCCGAAGAUUUUUAGGAUUAGCCGGAUAUUACUGAAGGUUUAUCCAAAGCUUUUCUUCGAUCGCUAGCCCAUUAACAGCUUUGACCCACAAAGGAGCUACUUAUGCUUGGAGUGAUAAGCAUAAAGAAGCAUUCAAGAAGCUAAAGAAGAAGCUAUGUGAGGCACCGAUUUUAUCUCUACCCAAUGGAGUUGAAGACUUCGCUGUCUAUAGCGAUGCGUCUGGUGUUGGAUUGGGUUGUGUUUUGACCCAAAGAGAAAAGGUGAUAGCAUAUGCGUCUCGACAGCUGAAAGAGCAUGAAAAGAAUUACCCGACUCAUGAUUUGGAGUUGGCAGCGGUAGUUUUCGCUCUGAAAAUAUGGAGGCAUUACCUCUAUGGCACGAAGUGUAAACUUUUCACUGAUCAUAAGAGUCUCCAAUAUCUCUUUAAUCAGAAAGAGUUAAAUAUGAGGCAACGACGCUAGCUAGAGUUACUCAAGGACUACGACUGUGAGAUACCUGACCAUCCCGGUAAAGCUAAUGUUGUUGCUGAUGCUCUCAGUCGGAAAGUCAAUGUUGAGAGAAAGAGGCCAAGAGCGUUGAGAAUAGAAGUUGUCUCGACAAUUUUGGAGAGUAUAAACAAAGCUCAAGAAGAAGCUUCUGAAAGGAAUGACCGGAAGGAGGAACUUUUGGGCAAAACGUUGGUGUUUGGUACAAACGGUCAUGGACUGAAGGUAUUCCAAGAUCGUAUUUGGGUACCUAAGUCAGGAGGAAUAAGAGAUCUUCUGAUGGAAGAAGCUCACAAAACAAUGUACUCAAUUCAUCCUGACAGCACUAAAAUGUAUAGGGACCUGAAACCCUACUACUGGUGGCCGACGAUGAAGCUUGAUGUUGCAAAGUAUGUGGCCGAGUGUGUGACUUGUGCGAGAGUCAAGACACAACAUCAGAAACCUUACGGGAGUUUAGAACCUUUGCCUGUGCCUAUGGGUAAGUGGGAAGACAUUGCUAUGGAUUUUGUCACUAAACUGCCCAGAACAAAGAAUGGUCACGACAUGAUUUGGGUGGUCGUUGAUCGAUUCACUAAGAGUGCGCAUUUCAUAGCAGCCAAGGAGAAAUGGUCUAUGGAAAAGCUUGCGAAUUCUUACGUGAAGGAAAUUGUGAGGCUUCACGGUGUUCCGUUAACGAUUGUAUCGGAUCGUGAUAGCCGUUUCACCUCAAGGUUUUGGAAAAGUCUACAAGAGGAAAUGGGUACCAAGUUAUGUUUAAGUACAGCUUACCAUCCGCAGACUGAUGGUCAGAGUGAAAGAACAAUACAAACACUUGAAGAUAUGCUGAGAGCAUGUACCUUGGAAUUCCUAGGUAAUUGGGAUGAACAUUUACCGUUGGUAGAAUUUUCCUAUAAUAAUAGUUUUCACUCGAGCAUUAAGAUGGCACCUUAUCAAGCUUUGUAUGGACAGAAGUGUCGUACGCCGUCUUGUUGGCUUGAGGCUGGGGAAAAGCAGUUUAUGGGACCGGAGAUGGUUCAUCAAACUGCUGAAAAGUUGAAAAUAAUUAGGGAAAGAAUGUUAGCAGCUCAAGAUCGUCAAAAGAGCUAUGCUGACAAGAAGCGAAGACCGAUGACUUUUGAGGUUGGAGAUUCGGUUUUGCUUAAAGUCUCGCCGUGGAAGGGACUUAUAAGAUUUGGUAAAAGGGGAAAGUUGAGUCCAAGGUUUAUUGGACCGUUUAAAGUUCUUCAGAGGAUUGGGAACCAAGCUUACAAGCUCGAAUUACCCGAAGAACUGAAUGGAAUUCACAACACUUUUCAUGUGUGUUAUUUGAGGAAGUUCACGGGAGAAGUUCCCGAUAUAAUUCCAAUUUCUGAAUUGAGAAUUGAUGAGAACAAAAGGUUGAUUGAAGAACCAGAGGCAAUUGUUGACCGAAAGACUAAGAAGUUGCGACGCAAAAUGGUUGGGUUAGUGCUUGUCCGAUGGAAACACACGAAUGGGCCGAAUCUCACCUGGGAGACGGAGAGUGACAUGUUGAGUCGCUAUCCGCAUUUGUUUGUUGAUGUGUGAUUCCGGGGACGGAAUCAUUCUAAGGUGGAGAGAAUUGUAACGCCUGUGUUUCCGGGCUUGCCAUUUUUAGCAAUGUAAUAGUCUAGGUUAACCUUUGUAACCCGUUUUGAAAUAAUAAGAUUGUAUUAUUUGAGUAUUAUGUGUUUUGUGCUUAAUUGCUUAAUUAUGUGGUUUGAUUAAUUAAGAAUAAAAAUAAGCGUCAAAAUUUAAGUGUAAAAUAAACUUAAUAUCUUUGGUUAAUGUUGUAGUAGUUGAAACGAGGUUUCCGAAUAUAUAUAGAACGCCCAAAUCUGACUUCGUAUGAGGAAGUUAUGAUUUAUCGAAGUUCCGGCUUAGCGAUAUACAGCCUGUUUUACUCGAUUUGAGAUCGAGCGGUUGUUAGCCGAAGCAAUCUAAAUGAGAAUCGAAGAUCUCAUUGUUGGUAUUGAAACGAUAAAAAGUUAGGCGAGAACGGACGUCAAACGAAGAAGUUAUGAAUUUAUAACGAAAGUUUCUGUCCCGGCCUAUUAAAAAUAAUUAAUAAAAAUAAAGUCAAAAUUAGCCGACGGAGUCUAAACGAAAGUCGUAGAGCGUGGUCUCACCUUCGCGUGGAUAUAAAGAACGUCGAAAACGGAGUUCGUAUGAAGAAGUUAUGAAUUUCCGAAGUUUAUUAAUCAUUUUGUAUUUAUUUUUAAUUCAAAAUUCGGAAGCAUUAUCCGAAGGAGUCACCGAUCUGAUCCGAGGUACGCCCCGCGUACUCGAGUACGCCCCGCGUACUCCGAGGGAUGUCGACACUCGCACUCGAGCACUUCGGAUACGUAAGCAAUGACGUUUUGGGCAGUACGCCCCGCGUAACGCAGUACGCCCCGCGUACUCCGAGGCUCCAGCCUCCUAUAAAUAGGAUGCGAGGGUUCCGGGUAUUUUUGCCAAUUCCCUCUCGUUUUCGUGUCGAAGCUCUGUGCAAAAACCCCCGAAGCUACCCCGAAGUCCCGGUAUCAUACUCUAGCCCCGAGGCAAGUCCCGAGAUCCCGAAGAUCCCGAAAAGUGCGGUUCCCGAGUCGAAGCUCUGCCCGCGAGAAGUUCGAUUUUCGAGAAGAUCUUCCAGAUCUGCUGUGGAUUACUACUUCUAUAAGCCGUAGUGCUGUCCGAUCAUCUUCUGAUCAAGUGAGUGUGUAGUUAUUUCUUCUAAUACAAUAAUACGAAGUAUUUUAUAUAAAAAUACGUGCUAUGUGUAUAUAUUUGGUUGUGUUAUGUGUGAAUGAGUAUUCACUCUCUUCUAUCUUAUAGAUCUGCUUAUUUCUUUAUGAGAUAUGUGUUAUGUGUGUGUGUGCCUCAUCUGUUAUGUGAUAUAUGUGUUGAUUAAAGCAUGCUAUACAGGUUUUCUUUAAACUAUGUAUACAAAUGUAUAUUUUUAUCUACUAAUAUGUUGGGUAGAACAUGGGUAGACAGUUGGUGUGUAAUAAACAGAUGAGAGGCCUCGUUGUUGUUUGAUUGAGUCAUCUAGCGGAGUUUAGAUGACGACCACUGGCUAUUCUAGACAGUCUUGUGGAAACAUUAGCAGGUUCGCCACCUGUAGGUGUUAAUGAACUUGGGUGUUCAUUCGCUGUACUCCAUCCCCCUCAUGAUUGCCUUAUUUGACUUAUAUUG
This 7755-nucleotide long non-coding RNA is filed under the name Lactuca sativa (garden lettuce). Its description in RNAcentral is "long non-coding RNA (LSAT_LNC004343)". Lineage: Eukaryota; Viridiplantae; Streptophyta; Magnoliopsida; Asterales; Asteraceae. The record is from RNAcentral.